AGGGAGGGAGAGGGCCAAGGGGUUGGAAGGAUAGGGGUGAUGGGACAUGGUGGGGUGGGGUGGGGAAGAAAGGUGGUGGUUUUCCUCUUAAACUUUUUUCUUUUAUUUUUGCUCUUUAAUUAAAAUUGAGGUGUAAAAGUCAUUUAUAUCAUAUAUUCCUAGUCAUGUGAAAUGCACAUGACAUUUUAAUGACUUCUAGAGGAAUUAUGGGGACCCAAGUGCCAAGAAAAUUGAAGGUUGGGAAUCCAAACUGCCAUGAAAAAAUUGAAAGGGAAUCCAAAAGCUCAUUUAACUAUAGAAUGGGGACUGCCGAUACAAUUUUCUCUUCAUUCUGCUAAUAUAUUAUAUACCCUAUUGGUAUUGUUUGGUUCACUGGAUUGAACAGGAUAUAAACAAGACAACUAAUACACUAUAAGUUGCUUUAACGAUUUUCUGCUUUAUCGAGUUUUGAAACCAAGAAAAUUGAAAAGAAAGUGUACUAUCCAAAAGUUUGAAAAUAUAGUUCACUAUCUAAUAAACUAAUGAAAAGGAUGCAUCAGAAAAAUUGAUAUAACUAUGAAGAAAAAGCCGAAAGGUCUCUUAUGAAAACAAAAUCUCACUUAAUUAUCAGAUGAAGGAUUGUUGCAGAAUACACAAACUUCUUCAGAAUCAAUCAACUAAUUUACCACAACAGGAGUUAACACAUUGACAAGUUCUUGUUCAAAGAUUAUAACUGCACAUUUAUCUAGAAAAACUGAAAUCAAAUUUUAGCACAGUUUUUACUAUUCUUACAUUGAAAAUUCUAAAAAUUUUAUCGUGCAUUCAGUAUGGUAAGCCUGAACUUGUGCACAUAACAUUCUGUAUUAUUCAUGAAUGUCAAGGAACAUCAGCAACUAGUAGAAAACAUUAUAGAAUAGUAACUCAACUGACCAAUCGAAGGAGGUUUCAGUUCUCCAGCCGCAUAUUUUCCCAUGACACCUCCACACCUAUGAUGCAUGAAAUAUUUCUUGAAGGUCAGAAAAAUCAAAGUUCAUGCAUCUAAUCAGUGCUCUAAAUUAUGAUAUCAGUUAAAGCAAAAAGAAAAGACACAAUCAUCAAUGAUAAUAUCCAAAUUAACUUUUUACAUUGUUCAAGCAGCAUAGAAAGCUAUUGGUUUGUAAAGUAUGUGCUUAAAUGAUGCAGGUUACUUUUGAAUAAAAUCUUUAGCCCCAGCAUAAACACAACUGAUCUUUUGUGUGGUUCAAUACCAGGAAGCAAGGAAACCACAACAACAAAAAACUAAUCCUUAUUUCAAAUAAUUUAUGGUCCAACUAUGCCACCCCAUUCGGUUCAUUGUUACGUCUAUUGAAAGAUCCAAAGCAACUAGAUUCUUCGCAAACGCAACAUGCUAAGAUAGUUUUUGACUAUCCCUCCCUUUCCUAACAUAUUCUAGAGAUAUUGCACUCUCUUAUGAAUAGGUACCUCUCUAGGUCUAUGCGAGACAUAUCCCAACAACCCAUGUCAUCUUCCCUUAAUUUAUAUCAUUGGAUGCAACCUCUACUCGUUAGCGUAUUUCUCAUUUCUUACCUUAUUCAUACUAGUAAGAACACGCAUCUAUCUUAGCAUCCUCAUUUUCUAUGCUCAUCUUAUGGGAAUCUUGUCAUGAAUUUUAUCUCUUCACAAACACCACAAUCAGUUUACUAACUUGGAUCUUGAUCCAAAUACUACAUUUUCUUGGAAAUUUCAUCGCGCCAUUUCAAGUUUCUCAGAAAUUUAUCGAUAGUGGCACAUUAAAAAGUCCAUUUCUAGACUACCAAAUUUUCUUCUUAGUACCAGUCACAUUUCCAUUUAAUGUGUACAACUCCUACACCCCUUCAUUUGGAGAUAUCCUAGAUUGAACCAUCAAUUGUUGUGCAAUUGCGAAUCUAUCACAUUAGUUUGCACAUAAUAUUUGACUGUAAAUUGUCAUAAGAUGACUCAUAACUCUGGUUGAGAUGACCAAAGAAGUACAAUAGACUUGUAUUUUAUUGUUUAUUAUGUUUAUCCACUGCAACAAAGUGCCAACAAUCAGGUAUCUCCACCUGCUAGUUCUUAAUUGUCAUGAUUCUGAAAAGAUUUGAAGUAUCCAUGAUGAUCAAUCACUUAGUUUCCCCU
RNAcentral lists this long non-coding RNA (2112 nucleotides) under Olea europaea (common olive). RNAcentral describes it as "long non-coding RNA (OEUR_LNC010341)". Lineage: Eukaryota; Viridiplantae; Streptophyta; Magnoliopsida; Lamiales; Oleaceae. The record is from RNAcentral.